This 1346-nucleotide ribosomal RNA is filed under the name uncultured bacterium. RNAcentral's name for it is "bacterial SSU rRNA". It matches the Rfam family "Bacterial small subunit ribosomal RNA", at positions 28 to 1381 of the family's 1533-position model. The record is from RNAcentral.
GACGAACGCUGGCGGCGUGCUUAACACAUGCAAGUCGAACGGAAAGGCCCUGCUUUUGUGGGGUGCUCGAGUGGCGAACGGGUGAGUAACACGUGAGUAACCUGCCCUUGACUUUGGGAUAACUUCAGGAAACUGGGGCUAAUACCGGAUAGGAGCUCCUGCUGCAUGGUGGGGGUUGGAAAGUUUCGGCGGUUGGGGAUGGACUCGCGGCUUAUCAGCUUGUUGGUGGGGUAGUGGCUUACCAAGGCUUUGACGGGUAGCCGGCCUGAGAGGGUGACCGGCCACAUUGGGACUGAGAUACGGCCCAGACUCCUACGGGAGGCAGCAGUGGGGAAUAUUGCACAAUGGGCGGAAGCCUGAUGCAGCAACGCCGCGUGCGGGAUGACGGCCUUCGGGUUGUAAACCGCUUUCGCCUGUGACGAAGCGUGAGUGACGGUAAUGGGUAAAGAAGCACCGGCUAACUACGUGCCAGCAGCCGCGGUGAUACGUAGGGUGCGAGCGUUGUCCGGAUUUAUUGGGCGUAAAGGGCUCGUAGGUGGUUGAUCGCGUCGGAAGUGUAAUCUUGGGGCUUAACCCUGAGCGUGCUUUCGAUACGGGUUGACUUGAGGAAGGUAGGGGAGAAUGGAAUUCCUGGUGGAGCGGUGGAAUGCGCAGAUAUCAGGAGGAACACCAGUGGCGAAGGCGGUUCUCUGGGCCUUUCCUGACGCUGAGGAGCGAAAGCGUGGGGAGCGAACAGGCUUAGAUACCCUGGUAGUCCACGCUGUAAACGGUGGGUACUAGGUGUGGGGUCCAUUCCACGGGUUCCGUGCCGUAGCUAACGCUUUAAGUACCCCGCCUGGGGAGUACGGCCGCAAGGCUAAAACUCAAAGGAAUUGACGGGGCCCCGCACAAGCGGCGGAGCAUGCGGAUUAAUUCGAUGCAACGCGUAGAACCUUACCUGGGUUUGACAUGGAUCGGGAGCGCUCAGAGAUGGGUGUGCCUCUUUUGGGGUCGGUUCACAGGUGGUGCAUGGCUGUCGUCAGCUCGUGUCGUGAGAUGUUGGGUUAAGUCCCGCAACGAGUGCAACCCUUGUUCACUGUUGCCAGCACGUUAUGGUGGGGACUCAGUGGAGACCGCCGGGGUCAACUCGGAGGAAGGUGGGGAUGACGUCAAGUCAUCAUGCCCCUUAUGUCCAGGGCUUCACGCAUGCUACAAUGGCUGGUACAGAGAGUGGCGAGCCUGUGAGGGUGAGCGAAUCUCGGAAAGCCGGUCUCAGUUCGGAUUGGGGUCUGCAACUCGACCUCAUGAAGUCGGAGUCGCUAGUAAUCGCAGAUCAGCAACGCUGCGGUGAAUACGUUCCCGGGGCU